GUUUGAUCCUGGCUCAGGACGAACGCUGGCGGCGUGCUUAACACAUGCAAGUCGUACGGUAAGGCCCUUUCGGGGGUACACGAGUGGCGAACGGGUGAGUAACACGUGAGUAACCUGCCCACAACUUUGGGAUAACGCUAGGAAACUGGUGCUAAUACUGGAUAUGUGCUCCUGCUGCAUGGUGGGGGUUGGAAAGCUCCGGCGGUUGUGGAUGGACUCGCGGCCUAUCAGCUUGUUGGUGGGGUAAUGGCCUACCAAGGCGACGAUCAGUAACUGAUUUGAGAGGAUGAUCAGUCACACUGGAACUGAGACACUGUCCAGACUCCUACGGGAGGCAGCAGUGGGGA
This 347-nucleotide ribosomal RNA is filed under the name Chaetoceros curvisetus. RNAcentral's name for it is "partial Bacterial small subunit ribosomal RNA". It matches the Rfam family "Bacterial small subunit ribosomal RNA", at positions 11 to 360 of the family's 1533-position model. The record is from RNAcentral. Lineage: Eukaryota; Bacillariophyta; Thalassiosirophyceae; Chaetocerotales; Chaetocerotaceae.